AGCACUCUGCACAGCAGUUGAUUCUGUUUUAGAGAGUAUGGAGACAGCUGUGCCUUUGGUAAUUACUGUGGACUGUCCUGGAAUGAAAUACACUGGGAGUGAGGAUUCUACCUCUGCUUUCAGGAUAUCUGUUUACAGUCAAGCCAAGGACCAAGAGCAAUGGCUGUCAAACCAUAUUCGGAGUAAUGGAGUCAUGUGCCGUCCAGUGCAACUUAAUGUCAGAGAACAUUUCUGAAAAGGAAGAUGAAGUGGAGAGUGAAUAGUUUAUUGCUUAAGAGAUUGAUAAAGAUUACUUCCCACCUGAAGAGGAAGAAGAAGUAGUUCAUAUGCCCUCUGAAAGCAAGGAAAAGAAAUACAGUCUCAGCUUUUGCAGUUCUUACAAAUAUGCCUUUGUUGUACAGAACAAACGAGGCCUUCUGUCUCUGUACAUAAUGACACUGUGCUACACAUCUCUCAUACCUGCCCCUCGUAUAACUUUGGUGGCAAAUGGAACAAUUUCAGUUUUGGAACUUCACACUGAAGUUGUGCGGACUCUGCCAGCUGUGUUGGUCUGGAGAAGAUUCUUCAUCGAAGUCUCCUCCUAAGUGAUAUUUCUAAGCUUUCUAGACCUCCUCACUUGAA
Electrophorus electricus (electric eel) is the source of this 621-nucleotide non-coding RNA. NCBI's taxonomy places the organism in Eukaryota, Metazoa, Chordata, Actinopteri, Gymnotiformes, Gymnotidae. The record is from RefSeq and is a predicted model, not a curated record.